RNAcentral lists this transfer RNA (76 nucleotides) under Chromobacterium violaceum. Its description in RNAcentral is "tRNA-Lys". It matches the Rfam family "tRNA". Rfam says of the family: Transfer RNA (tRNA) molecules are approximately 80 nucleotides in length. RNAcentral also lists the same sequence under 44 other names. Lineage: Bacteria; Pseudomonadati; Pseudomonadota; Betaproteobacteria; Neisseriales; Chromobacteriaceae. The record is from RNAcentral.
GGGUCGUUAGCUCAGUUGGUAGAGCAGCGGACUCUUAAUCCGUAGGUCGAGUGUUCGAGCCACUCACGACCCACCA